RNAcentral lists this ribosomal RNA (405 nucleotides) under Triticum aestivum (bread wheat). RNAcentral describes it as "partial small subunit ribosomal RNA". The stretch from base 204 to 327 matches the Rfam family "MIR1120/MIR1122 microRNA precursor family". The record is from RNAcentral. Lineage: Eukaryota; Viridiplantae; Streptophyta; Magnoliopsida; Poales; Poaceae.
AUGGGAAUGCUACUUCAUCUAUCUGGUUUUGGUGUUGAUCUAUUGCUUGACAUAAUGCCAUGUGAUGUGAGCUUCCUGCGUCGAUGCUUCCUCGUCUUUCUUCCGACCAUUUUUCACGUCGAUUGGGGUAGCCGGGUAGAGCUGGGGGAAUGCUUCCUGUUUUGGCCUUGUCUCUGUCGCAGAGAUACAAGCAUAAAUUAUAUUUUAUACCCUCUUCGUUUAAAAAUAUUUGUCCGGAAAAUGAAUGUAUCUAAACGUAUUUUAGUUUUAGAUACAUCCAUUUUUAUUCAUUUCUCCACAAGUAUUUGCGGACGGAGGGAGUAUUAUAUUACAAUAAUUAAAGUGGCUAAGCUAGCCCUUAUCAUAUGCAUUUCACGUUGUAGCUGCUGCUUCAUCUCUAAGUGA